GACGAACGCUGGCGGCGUGCUUAACACAUGCAAGUCGAACGGAAAGGCCCUGCUUUUGUGGGGUGCUCGAGUGGCGAACGGGUGAGUAACACGUGAGUAACCUGCCCUUGACUUUGGGAUAACUUCAGGAAACUGGGGCUAAUACCGGAUAGGAGCUCCUGCUGCAUGGUGGGGGUUGGAAAGUUUCGGCGGUUGGGGAUGGACUCGCGGCUUAUCAGCUUGUUGGUGGGGUAGUGGCUUACCAAGGCUUUGACGGGUAGCCGGCCUGGGAGGGUGACCGGCCACAUUGGGACUGAGAUACGGCCCAGACUCCUACGGGAGGCAGCAGUGGGGAAUAUUGCACAAUGAGCGGAAGCCUGAUGCAGCAACGCCGCGUGCGGGAUGACGGCCUUCGGGUUGUAAACCGCUUUCGCCUGUGACGAAGCGUGAGUGACGGUAAUGGGUAAAGAAGCACCGGCUAACUACGUG
This 468-nucleotide ribosomal RNA is filed under the name uncultured bacterium. RNAcentral describes it as "partial 16S ribosomal RNA". It matches the Rfam family "Bacterial small subunit ribosomal RNA", at positions 28 to 507 of the family's 1533-position model. The record is from RNAcentral.